RNAcentral lists this long non-coding RNA (2112 nucleotides) under Marmota monax (woodchuck). Lineage: Eukaryota; Metazoa; Chordata; Mammalia; Rodentia; Sciuridae. The record is from RNAcentral.
AAAGAGCCAUUCUGCUGCCUGCGGAAAUGAGUUUCUGGUUGUGUAGCCGCAGCCCAGGCGGGAAGGCGACGAGGGCCUGCAGCUCUGGGCAGCCAAGGCAGGACUGCGAGGCAGUGCCCACUCACGGGGGCCUCUCCGCGAAGUACACAGCUCUGCAAACCCAAGGGGAGACGACGGAAGAAGGCUCGUCCCCAUGUCUGCUGCCGAGGCUUGGACGCAAGACUAAUGGCAUUUCGGGAUCCCAGGGAAACACAUGGAUGCCUCCACCUCUCUGCGUCAUCUUCUGAGGCUCAGCGAGGGGAAGGAUCAGCCCAAGGUUGUGCACAGACUGCAGAGGCGCUGAGACAGAACGGGGGCCCCUAACUCCCUGAGUGCGUCCUAGCACGCCCAGCCCCAGGGGCUGCCCACAGGAGCCUCCAGGUGCCAAUACCACCAUCUGCCAGAGGGCAGAACGGAGCCCACCACCCAGAGCCUCAGUCUGAUGGCCACAUCAGGACAGGUCUGCACGCCCCUGCACCCGACUGGCCCCCUGGACUCUGCCUGCCAGACCUCCCUCCCUGAGGACAGCGUGAGGUUAGCCAGGCAGCCUGUCCUGUGGUUGACGAAUCCAGGCUCUUUGUCUGCUUAGAAAGAUGGGCCUGAAACAGUAGAUCACAGCGUGCUGCAGGGGAUUAAGACAAGCAGCUUCCUGUUAGAGAGGCACCUUGCUCUCCCUGCUCCACUGCCCGAGUCUUCUCGGAACCCAGCCCCCACUCCGUCCACACUCCUACAGGCCCUUGGCAAUGACAGGAGGAGGAAAUAGAGAGAUGAGGAGCUGCUAUGCAGGUGGAGGGCCGAGGCAACCAGAGAAGCAGCGUGGGAUGGCGCACUAGGUGUGUGCCGGCCCCAGGGCCUUAGUACACACUGCUCCCUGUGCAGGAAUCUGCCCUCCCCGGAAGGAAUCACAGAAGGAAUCCACGGGGCUGGCUCCCUCCCUGCACUCAUGGCUCUGCCCAAAUGCCCUCCCUGGAGAGGCCUGGCCACCCUGCCUCAGAACUCUGCCACUCGGCCCCAGCUCACAGCACACAGAAUGACUUCACCAAGAAGGCCGCCCCUCACCACCCGGCCCCUGCUGAGAACGGCCCUCAGCAGACACUGUGGACCAAAGACAGAGGGCCACGACGCAGCACAGCCCUCAGGACCCGGGGAGCAAAGCCUGUUCCCGGCUUGUGCAUCACCAGCAGCGGUCACCUUGGUCACCUUCGGGCCCCAGAGUCCUCACAUGGAGGACCGAGUGAUCAUAAUGACAACCACGAGUCAGCCUGGACAGCGUCCCGCGGGAGCAAGUGACUCUGGUCUCUGACCCUGUGUUGGAGGCUUUCCCCUCGUGGCUGAGCGGACUGAGCAGAUCAGCCAUCCUGUGGGGGGGUGGGGAGGGCAGGACCCGGCCCACGGACUUCCUCUGGUUUUUGCCAAAACAACAAAACCAAAAAUCCAACGAAACCACCCUGUGGCCAGUGAGGGUGGCAGGCCCUGCCCUCUGGGCUCCUGUGGCUGGGCAGGGUGAGGCCAACGGCCCAUGAGCAGAAACCUGGCCCCGCUGUGAGCCGGGUUCCUAGACAGGCUGGAUCCUCAGAGGGACUUUUCGGGUGGGUGAACUUGGGCCUCUAUUAGCCACCAAGGGCUCAUUCCUGAGCAGAUACCCAUGGGGAACAGGGCGAUCUGUAUCUAGUACAACCCCCUUCUCAGCUCUGAGCCCUGGGGCUCUUCCCUGUCCCCCCAGAAGCCUGCAUGAGCUCACCAAAACAGGAUAGUCCCAGGUGUCCCCUGUUGAGACUCCAUCUUUUGGUGGAAGGGGACAAUCAGUUCAACACAGUUUUAGGCAAAGAAGUCAGGCAAUCCAAGAGCACAGCUUCUGGAGUCAAAGGGAGCUGAGUGCAAAUCCAAGCUCUGCUACUUACCUUCUGUGUGACCUCAGUGAAAUUCCUUAACCUUUCUGAGCCUCAGUGUCUUCAUCUGAAAAACAAAUGAAAUGUUCAGAAUUACCACCAGGAGAGACAGUUUCUACAAUGUGCUUGACUCAGACAUACAGACAGAGUAAAGGUUUUCUGCUAGUGAGGUGGCCUAGCCCUG